Molecule: non-coding RNA, 92 nt
Organism: Mycena leptocephala
Lineage: Eukaryota; Fungi; Basidiomycota; Agaricomycetes; Agaricales; Mycenaceae
Source: the annotation of a GenBank genome assembly
GGUCUCGUGGCUGAGUGGUUAAGCACUUGCAGUUUCAGAUGGCGCUGAAUGGAUUACGCAAGCUUACGCCUGUUCGAACCAGGUCGGGUCCA